RNAcentral lists this long non-coding RNA (306 nucleotides) under Androctonus crassicauda. Lineage: Eukaryota; Metazoa; Arthropoda; Arachnida; Scorpiones; Buthidae. The record is from RNAcentral.
CAAGAAUAGCAGUUUAAGUUUUUGAGCCCUAUAAAUAUGGACAGAGAUCAGAUCAGUUCAAGUUCAGACAAAUUCGAUUUUCCAUCUUUGAACGAGCAAAUUACAUCUAUUCUUGAAGCAUUACACUACGAAACAAAGGAAUCCAGUGGGCACAAUAGUGACAAAGUACGAGGUAUGAGAAGACAAAAAAUUAGAAUUAUAGAUAGCGAAAGUGAAACUGCAGAAGAUGCAGGCAGUUCAGAAUGGAUACUGUGCGGAGAAUGUGAAGAAGUGCCACCAAGUGUACAAUUUAUAUCUGGCAAAAAA